GGAAGGCAUUCGUAUCCGGUGGUACGGCCGGGCUUCAAACCCGGUUAGGGGCGUCAGACGCUCCUAUGUCAGUUCGACUCUGGCUGCCUUCCGCCA
This 96-nucleotide transfer RNA is filed under the name Burkholderia cenocepacia. RNAcentral's name for it is "tRNA-Sec". It matches the Rfam family "Selenocysteine transfer RNA". The record is from RNAcentral. Lineage: Bacteria; Pseudomonadati; Pseudomonadota; Betaproteobacteria; Burkholderiales; Burkholderiaceae.